This 412-nucleotide ribosomal RNA is filed under the name uncultured bacterium. RNAcentral describes it as "bacterial SSU rRNA". It matches the Rfam family "Bacterial small subunit ribosomal RNA", at positions 8 to 416 of the family's 1533-position model. The record is from RNAcentral.
AGAGUUUGAUCCUGGCUCAGAUUGAACGCUGGCGGCAUGCCUAACACAUGCAAGUCGAACGGCAGCACAGCAGUAGCAAUACUGUGGGUGGCGAGUGGCGGACGGGUGAGUAAUGCAUCGGGAUCUACCCUGACGUGGGGGAUAACCUCGGGAAACCGGGACUAAUACCGCAUACGUCCUACGGGAGAAAGCGGGGGACCUUCGGGCCUCGCGCGGCAGGACGAACCGAUGUGCGAUUAGCUAGUUGGCGGGGUAAUGGCCCACCAAGGCGACGAUCGCUAGCUGGUCUGAGAGGAUGAUCAGCCACACUGGGACUGAGACACGGCCCAGACUCCUACGGGAGGCAGCAGUGGGGAAUAUUGGACAAUGGGCGCAAGCCUGAUCCAGCAAUGCCGCGUGUGUGAAGAAGGCC